Molecule: non-coding RNA, 1099 nt
Organism: Triticum urartu
Lineage: Eukaryota; Viridiplantae; Streptophyta; Magnoliopsida; Poales; Poaceae
Source: RefSeq, a predicted model, not a curated record
UGUCAAUCCUGUCAGACGCGUCAGAGGUCGAGCAGGGGAAAAUGAGGAUACAAACUAAAUACGGCAAGUACAGUGCGCGCUUGUGGGCCAAUUCCGUACUUGGUGGCGUCGGUCCGUGAGGCUAUGAUUCUGAGCCGUGGCCCAGAACGUCUGGGUGUGGAUAGUCCAGGUUGUAUGGGGGUUUGCCGAGUAGUGAGAUCAAGGAAGUGGUGAGGGGACUCAUGGCGAUGGCAUCUGUGGCGGCUGCGACUUCCUGCGGCGGAGCGGCGAUGGAAGCCGAUGGCCUGGAUUUCCUCAUGGAUCUAGUUGACCGAUCAGAACAGAGCUGUGGAGAUGGAAAAGUUGACCGGGAUUAAAUCCGUAAGAUGGACUUCAAGCUAAUGAGAUACAGUACAAGAUUGAGUGGCUAAAAAAAGGCAAACCCAUAGAUCUACCAUUAUGUCCCAUAUGGCCAUUCAGUCCGGAUGCCCUCACAUCGACGUGGUAAUGUUGCAAAUACUUAAUUUCAGUUUUAUGUUCCCGGUGUACUGCAUGGAUUGCUGGUCCUUGUACAUCCUGGACACAGAGAAGAAGAUCUUCAGGGUGUUGAACCCGACUGAGACACACCCCUGUGACGAGAUGGAAACGAAACACAAUGCCAUUGCAAAGAGAUCCCAGCGUCGAUUCUGACAAUGCUUCAACGACAUAUUCGGUGGAUGAUUGGUUGACGUGGACGGAUGGACUUCUGUCUAUCCGUUGGUGGCCCAUCGCGAUCCUUGUACAAGGGAGGAGAGCGGUGUUUACAUUGUGCACUACAUCCAUGAGUUCAAUGUGCUGUACCUGCAUCUUGUGAUGAACAUAGGUUACAGUAAUAUGUGAUCUCAUUUGUGUGCCUAGAUAUUGUUUUUAUCACCUACGGAAAAGUCUCGAAUAUGAGAUCGUGACUAUGAGAGAGUAUCAGGGUGACCUGCCAAGUUUCAUGUGCCUCGAAAUCAUGGAUUGAGGGGAUGAAGUCAGAAUAGUUGCAGGGCGGCUCUAUCUUUUGACCCUAUUGCUCGUGUGUUCCCUAGUGUAGUUUGUCACUUUUGGUUUUCGCGCCUGCGAAUUUCUAAAACUCAAG